GGUAACACUGAAUGGAGGACCGAACCGACUUACGUUGAAAAGUGAGCGGAUGAACUGAGGGUAGCGGAGAAAUUCCAAUCGAACCUGGAGAUAGCUGGUUCUCUCCGAAAUAGCUUUAGGGCUAGCCUCAAGUGAUGAUUAUUGGAGGUAGAGCACUGUUUGGACGAGGGGCCCCUCUCGGGUUACCGAAUUCAGACAAACUCCGAAUGCCAAUUAAUUUAACUUGGGAGUCAGAACAUGGGUGAUAAGGUCCGUGUUCGAAAGGGAAACAGCCCAGACCACCAGCUAAGGUCCCAAAAUAUAUGUUAAGUGGAAAAGGAUGUGGCGUUGCCCAGACAACUAGGAUGUUGGCUUAGAAGCAGCCAUCAUUUAAAGAGUGCGUAAUAGCUCACUAGUCGAGUGACACUGCGCCGAAAAUGUACCGGGGCUAAACAUAUUACCGAAGCUGUGGAUUGUCCUUUGGACAAUGGUAGGAGAGCGUUCUAAGGGCGUUGAAGCAUGAUCGUAAGGACAUGUGGAGCGCUUAGAAGUGAGAAUGCCGGUGUGAGUAGCGAAAGACGGGUGAGAAUCCCGUCCACCGAUUGACUAAGGUUUCCAGAGGAAGGCUCGUCCGCUCUGGGUUAGUCGGGUCCUAAGCUGAGGCCGACAGGCGUAGGCGAUGG
Molecule: ribosomal RNA, 662 nt
Filed under: Staphylococcus aureus
Lineage: Bacteria; Bacillati; Bacillota; Bacilli; Caryophanales; Staphylococcaceae
Description: partial 23S ribosomal RNA
Rfam family: Bacterial large subunit ribosomal RNA
Source: RNAcentral